UUUAAGAUUCAUCGUUCACGAACGGCCCAUCACCACUUUUACGUGGCGUCGAUCGGCUGAUCGUUUGCUGAUCUGCUGAGAGAUGUUGCUAACCAGCUUUAAAAUAGUACGUUUUAUAUGUUCGAUCAAUCAAAAACGAGUAGCUAAACAUAGAUGUAGUCGAACGUUUUUGUGCAGUUUUGGGUGCCCUAAGCCCGCCAAGUUCAGCUUCUCGGUCACGUGCACCUAGGCCCCCAGUUGACGGUAUCGGUGGACUAAGCGCACUAAGUUCAGUUUCUCCAUCACAUGCACCAGAAGGUACGUUAUUAGUAGUGAUGGGUCGCACAUUAAUUUUUAACAUGACUCGGGAGUAACGAGCGUCUCAGAGAGUGAUUUGUUCAUUUUGUGUUGACCGCGCACGUGCAACAUUGUAUAUUGUGCAACAGUAUGAUGAAGUUUCUCGAGUGAUCGGGUCCGAGUCCUUUCGUUCUUUUAUACCGGAAAGAGAAAUGAUAAAUUAAGGAUUAAUUAGGACAAGCUACGCAUCAAUAAAAUAAUCUAUGCCUUGCAUUAUCGCAUCCAUUUUGUUUUCAACAGGAUUUAGAGGGAACCGCGGUUAACUGUGCACUAGUGAUGGGAAGUUCGGAUCAUUUUAUUGACUCGGACCUUUGAGUCUCGUUCAGCAAAAUGAACGAAUCUUUUUUUAGAGUCAUAUCGUUCCUUUCGUUCAUUUUAGCAAAGUAUAAUUAAAAUGUUACAUGUCACUUUCCUAACAAAUCUACUACUUAUGCAAACGUUGAUCACAUUACAACCAAUACAAAACUAUAAUGCUAUAAUAAACAGAAAAGAUGAAUUACUUGUUUACCUGGGUAUUAAGUCUAUGAUUAGCUCACAUCACCUCUUAUCUUGAUAAAUUUUUGAUUUCACUGUCUUUGUCUAUCAAUAAAGAAACACUAGGGCUAGGCUAUGCACCCGUUUGUUAGGAAGGUUGUAAAUUAGCUAAUUUAUCUGUCCAAAGCUGUCACACGUCACAUUACAAAAGACCGAACGACUCGAACCCGAAGACUCGGGAGGUGAACUAAUCAAUUCUCUUUCCGGCUCUGACUGCAUGUGUUUAGCGUGCAGGGAUGUCACGUGAUGAACGAACGACUCGAACCCGAAGACUCGAGAGGUGAACUAAUCAAUUCUCUUUCCGGCUCUGAUUGCAUUUGUUAAACGUCCGGAGCAUGUUGCGCAAUGCGCAUUCGCGACUGAACGAACCACGUCCCAUGACGACUCGUUCUUCCCGAGUCACAUUUAAGAUUCGUUCAAAAUGAACGAAUCGUUCACGAACGACCCAUCACUACUGUGCACAUGUUUGGGGAACGUAAGACCACUAAAGAACGCAUAUUGAAAAACAGCCAAUAUUCCAGUUCCACCUGGCUGCCUUUAAUAUAAACGAUACACAGAAGUCUCUGGGAAAGAAAGCGCAGACAUGGGGUGCGUCUCAAUCAGCUCCCAAGGUCGUGAAUCACAAUAUCGUGUACACGGGUUCGGGCACUUGUAAGGUCUUACUUCAGCAGAACACUAAAGAUGAUAUUUUGAAGAAUGUUGGUAACAGUCAUCUAUUCACUUGCAUUGCUUUUGUGUUCAUACAAUAGAAGUGAAUGGGUGCCACUGCUGUUUGGUUACUUUAAAAUAUCUUUUUUGUUAAAAGAAUGUCAGAAAGGUUUAAUAAAAAGAGGGUGAGUACAUGACACAAUUUAAUUUUGGGGUCAACUAUCACUUAAAAUAUAGAAGUAUUGAAGCAAUUUGUGAUCUGUGAACUUAUAUGCACCGUGGCCGAUGAUGUAGCUGUGUUCGUAGACUUCUUGAGAAACAUUAAUUUUAGGCUGUUCUUGCCGCUUCCUUUUAGCUGAGGUUUUAAGACUGUCCGGACCAUACACAAACUUGGAUGAUAAAAUUGUGGAUUUAGUCCCCACUCUGUGUGCUAAACAGUAGGGGUGAAACAAUACAGCUCACCCAUAGUCCAAUACGGACCUUUGACCAUGGCCCACGGUUUUUGGUUCGGUUCGGUUCUGAUGGCUUCGGCACAUUAAAGUGUUUUUUUUGUUUUUAUGUUUGUGACAGGAACAGUAAAAACUUUUUUUUUUACUAAAAUUCACUUUAUUUUACUUGACUUAUUUUAUUAUUAUAAAGCAAAAAACUACUUCUACAAAUUACUGGCGUAAUUAAUAAAUUUAAAGAUUUACACUUGUAGCUCACAACAUUUUGGGUUUACUGUUCAUCAACACACCGGUAAAACAAGCUUCUUGAAGAAGUUUUGUGCAUCAGAGUAAUUAAAAUGACGUAAUGCAAAACUUGCGAUUGCUGUAAAGGUGCGCUCAAUGGGAAAGGCUCAUUUUUAGUAAAAGCCAAAAAUACAUUGUAUGGGUCAAAAUUAUAGUUUUUUUUUAAUGCCCAAAAUCAUUAAGUAAAUAUCAUGUUCCAUGAUGAUAUUUUGUAAAUUGCCUACCGUAAAUAUAUCAAAACUUUAUUUUUGUGAGUGGAUGACCAGUAACAUUGGCUCUUAUUACCAACUUCAAAGGCAAUUUUCUCUAUUUUAAUUCCUUUGCACCCUCAGAUUCCAGAGAUUUAAACGGUUAUACUUCCACCAGAUAGUAUCAUAUCCUAACAACCAAUUACAUCAAUAGAAAUCUUAAUUAUUCAGCUUUCAAAUUAUGUAAAAAUGUCGAUUUCGAAAAUUGACCCAUAAGACUGGUUUUGUUGUCCAGGGUCACAUAUAUUAACAAGGUGCAUCACUGUCAUUGAAAUAAUUAAGAAAAAAUGCAACGCUAAAUUGCUGCUUGGAGGGGCUUACUAAGAGGUUAAUAACUGCCUGAAAGGCCACCGAGUGGCACAACUUUCAUUAAACAGACAUUGGCAUGGGUGCCAGAAGAGACGCUCUUGUUGCAUGUGCUGAGAGCAACGCAAACUAGCUGCUUUGGUAUGCAGUGUAAAAAUUAGGGCUGCAACUAACGAUUAUUUUAAUAAUCGAUUAAUCUAUAAAUUAUUUUUUUCGAUUAAUCGAUGAAUCGGAUAAAAACAAAACCAAGAAAAGCAUUCAUUUCCAACCUUUUAUUCAAAAACAGAACUUAAAUCUUUAGAAACUGCACAAACAUGUUGCUCCUUGAACAUCCCUGAGCUGUUAUAAUAAUAAUAAAAUAAAAAUGGACUAACAGAAAAAACAUACACAUGUAUGUUUUACAUCUGCCAAAUAUAUAGACUUUUUGUAAAUAAAGUGCCACCUGAGCUGCCAGAACAAUAAAUAAUUUAUAAAAAAUAAAAAACAAUACAAAUCAGAAAAUUUAACAGGAUUUGUUUGAAUGUAAGAACUUGUUCUCUACACUAAACUGCAGACAGACACUCGCAGAUGCACACACUCGCAGACGCACACACACUUUUGCAGACGCACACACUCACAAUCUCUCACACUGACACACACACACACACACACUCUCUCAAAUUCACUUGAAGCUUAGUCAUUCAAUUAUUACCAUCAUUGUAGUAAGUGCAAGCUUCAUUUAUACACCACAUUUUAACAAAGCUUAAGAUGACCGAGUGCUAUAAAAGAACUUUAAAAUUAAAUUAAAAAGUACAACACACACAAAUAUAUUUGUCAAUAAUAACCUAUAUGGGACAAAGCACAGAAUAUACACUGCAAAAAUUGCUUUUCUAACUUAGUAGUUUUGUCCUGUUGUCAGUCCAAAUAUCAAAAAAAUCUUAAAUCAAGAUACAUUUACUAGACACAUGAAAUAGCAUAAGAAAUUAUGUCUUGUUUUCUGAAGAAAAACACCUCAAAAUUAAGUGAUUGUUUGCUUAAAACAAGCAAAAUUAUCUGCCAAUGGGGUACGAAAAAUAAUCUUAAUGAGAUAUAAUUUCAAACAGAAGUUUUAAGCAUCACUUAAUUUUCUCAUGCCAUUUUUCUUGUCUAGUAAUCUUGAAUUUUUUUGUAGAUACUUGGACUGGAAACGAGAAAUAAAUUACUAAGUAAGAAAAGCUUUUUUUGCAGUGUAGCUAUACAUGACAACAGAUUGAUAAAUGAAUGGUUCAAAAAAGGCUAGUGAAUAAAAACGUGUCUUUAUUCUUGCAAUGCAAAGUGCAAAGUAACUAUACCAGCCCUGCUUUACUUCUGUUAUUGACGUGCUAAUGCUAACUUGUCAUGCUUGUCAAGCUGGAUAACGAGUAAACAUAAGCACCAGGACAUUACGUUCUUCACUUCAAAACGGAACAAAAGAAGGAUUCUGUAAUGACUUAACUCAAGAAUCAGCAUAUUAAAGGUGUGAAGCACUGGGCUUUUUAAAUGUUUUAUACUGUUGUAUGAGGCUUGUUAACGAUUUUAUACUGUUGUAUGAAGUCUACUUAUGGCAUGUGGUUUUUACGUUCAAAAACAUCAAAAUCAAUAAGUAAUAGGCUUUCCACCUGGGUUUUGAGGCCGGCUCAACAAACGUUCGGUUUGAAUGGGUGUUCCACCAUGAAGACUUGGAAGUAAACGCCCACUGCUAUGGCUGGAUAGUAGCUUGCGUCUGAGCCUUUUGUGAAUUUGGUUGGAGACGUAAUGUUAGGUUACACAUUCGACCUAUUGAUUAAUGAAACUAUGAAGUUGUUUUUAAUUGAAUGACAACUCAAGCUACUUACGAUGUCGAAAAGAAUUUUCAGAGCGGUCUGGAGGCCGUCUGCAGGAUCUUUUACCUGAAAAGAACAGUAAUAAAAGUGGUGUUUUGUGUAAAUAUAUGAUAUUGACAUAUACUGACUUGCCAACUUUCAGAUUUCAGAAUAAACCAUUUGUUUGCUAGGAGCUCCGUACCUGAAACCACUUGUGUUCAAAGAUCUUUUCCAGACUAAUAUGUUUAUCUGGAUCCUCCUGCAGACAGUCUACAAUCAAACGGCAACAUUCUGUUCAUAUAGAUGGAAGCUUUUAUUACCUUAAAUAACUUCAGUGGGUCUGAUGAAGAUCUCACCUUCAGUCAAGCCGUCUUUGUACCAGAUCCUUUCAUUGAUCGAGGACCGCUCAUAGCAGUUUGGGAAUUUCCCGCACAACAUGGCGAAUAACAGCACCCCGAGCGAGAACACCAUUGCUGGCUUUCAAUAGUACUCACCCGUUUGAAAAAAUUCAGGGCAGGCGUAGUCUCUCAGGCCUGAUGAAAACUGAUUCAUGACACAGUCUACAUUGCCACAGCAUUUUGUAGCCACUAAAAGUGAGCCUACCAUUGAAUCUGAAUGCUGUCAUCUUAUUUAUCAAAAGUAUUUAGACAAAUGGUAAUGUGUCUGACAUACCUGUAAACGUCUUUUAGGCCAACUUUUGAAGUAGUUCGGCGCACCCAAAGUCAACCAGUUUGAAGUCUAGGGUGUCUGCUGUUAUGACGAAGUCUUCCAGCUUAAUAGCCCUGUGGAAAACCCCCCGUUUACAGCACAUGUAGGCAGCCAUGGUUGCCUGCCACGUGAUGUCCUUGGCUUACUCCUCAUCGAGUUCUCCCCCUUUACUCGCAACAAAUUCAUUCAAACCCUCGCAGGGAGAAGGGUGCUCCAAGACCAUGAUGAAGUGGUCUGGAUACUCCUGCCUGUCAACGAGCUAGACAAUCUCAGGAACGUCAUCUCCCUGACAGGCAAGCAUGUGAAGAGCCACCUGACGUGGAAGGGGUUCAGGAUAACCCGACUAGAAGACAAAUUUACAUUUAAUGUUAAAAGUGAUGAAGUCGCAUUGACAUAUUUCACUACCACCUGAUCAACAAAACAAAAAAAUGAUUUUCAGUCAAAUCGUGCAGAAAAAAUGUCAUUCAAAGCAUUCAUCAUAAGCAGACAUGUAAGAAAUAGAUUGAACACUAAAUAGUGGACAUAAGAUACAUUGAGAAGGUUUGUAAAGGACAGAGCGAGAUUUUAAACAGAUGAGCACAAACCAGAUGAAAAACUACUUGAUGGGUAGUUACUCAAAGUAUAAAAACAAACCUUCAAAUCAUCCUGCACACGGGUCCCUUCAUAGAUGGCUCCAAAACCGCCUUCCCCCAGUAUUUCACCGAUCUCAUACAUGCAGGAGUUUAUCUCUAUUAAAAGAGAUGCAGAAAUGUAGUUAACAUAAAAACUAUUAUUACAUAUGAGCGAAAGUGUGUAUGUUGGGAUUAUGGAAGUUAACUUCCCCUGAAUGAUCACACUGGGCUUCUCAUCAUCUUCCAGCUUCUCUUCAGACUGACUAACUGAAGUUUGCUGGAUUUCUUCAUCCCUGUCUGACUUAAUUGCGCCUGGAUUUUGAACAGCAACUGUUGGAGUCCAACCCAAAGUGCAUGUGGGUGUCAGAAGGGACUGGAUUCUGAAUACAUGCCUGUGAGGAUCUCCAGGUCACCGGUGAGAGUUUCCUGAUUUUCCAGGAACUCUGGAGUGACACCCUGUCCUGAAGUCUCAUCUGUAGAGAGGAACGAGAUCAUUCACAAAAUCAAAAAGAACUGCAAGCAAUACCACCAGGGCCAAGCCCACACUUUGCCAACACUUGACCAAGUUUACCCACCACACCCAGCCCACUCUUCCCCCAGUGUACCCACAACAUGAAAUGAGACAGUAGAGCAAAAGUAGCAGAAAUACAGUGUAAAGGUGGAACAGAUGUAAGAAGUGACAAUGAAAGAAUGUCAUUUGUACUUACCGUGUUUCUAUAUAUUCACAUUAAACACUAAGUUGUAAUACAUGCAUCGCACUUUAUUUCAUUACUAAAAUGACAUUACGUUU
Long non-coding RNA from Triplophysa dalaica, 6711 nucleotides. RefSeq lists it as uncharacterized. Lineage: Eukaryota; Metazoa; Chordata; Actinopteri; Cypriniformes; Nemacheilidae. The record is from RefSeq and is a predicted model, not a curated record. The transcript has 3 exons.